RNAcentral lists this ribosomal RNA (1443 nucleotides) under uncultured organism. RNAcentral describes it as "16S ribosomal RNA". It matches the Rfam family "Bacterial small subunit ribosomal RNA". The record is from RNAcentral.
GCUUAACACAUGCAAGUCGAGGGGCAUCAGGAAGAAAGCUUGCUUUCUUUGCUGGCGACCGGCGCACGGGUGAGUAACACGUAUCCAACCUGCCCUUUACUCGGGGAUAGCCUUUCGAAAGAAAGAUUAAUACCCGAUGGCAUAAUGAUUCCGCAUGGUUUCAUUAUUAAAGGAUUCCGGUAAAGGAUGGGGAUGCGUUCCAUUAGGUUGUUGGUGAGGUAACGGCUCACCAAGCCUUCGAUGGAUAGGGGUUCUGAGAGGAAGGUCCCCCACAUUGGAACUGAGACACGGUCCAAACUCCUACGGGAGGCAGCAGUGAGGAAUAUUGGUCAAUGGGCGCUAGCCUGAACCAGCCAAGUAGCGUGAAGGAUGAAGGCUCUAUGGGUCGUAAACUUCUUUUAUAUAAGAAUAAAGUGCAGUAUGUAUACUGUUUUGUAUGUAUUAUAUGAAUAAGGAUCGGCUAACUCCGUGCCAGCAGCCGCGGUAAUACGGAGGAUCCGAGCGUUAUCCGGAUUUAUUGGGUUUAAAGGGAGCGUAGGUGGACUGGUAAGUCAGUUGUGAAAGUUUGCGGCUCAACCGUAAAAUUGCAGUUGAUACUGUCAGUCUUGAGUACAGUAGAGGUGGGCGGAAUUCGUGGUGUAGCGGUGAAAUGCUUAGAUAUCACGAAGAACUCCGAUUGCGAAGGCAGCUCACUGGACUGCAACUGACACUGAUGCUCGAAAGUGUGGGUAUCAAACAGGAUUAGAUACCCUGGUAGUCCACACAGUAAACGAUGAAUACUCGCUGUUUGCGAUAUACAGUAAGCGGCCAAGCGAAAGCAUUAAGUAUUCCACCUGGGGAGUACGCCGGCAACGGUGAAACUCAAAGGAAUUGACGGGGGCCCGCACAAGCGGAGGAACAUGUGGUUUAAUUCGAUGAUACGCGAGGAACCUUACCCGGGCUUAAAUUGCAGUGGAAUGAUGUGGAAACAUGUCAGUGAGCAAUCACCGCUGUGAAGGUGCUGCAUGGUUGUCGUCAGCUCGUGCCGUGAGGUGUCGGCUUAAGUGCCAUAACGAGCGCAACCCUUAUCUUUAGUUACUAACAGGUUAUGCUGAGGACUCUAGAGAGACUGCCGUCGUAAGAUGUGAGGAAGGUGGGGAUGACGUCAAAUCAGCACGGCCCUUACGUCCGGGGCUACACACGUGUUACAAUGGGGGGUACAGAAGGCAGCUAGCGGGUGACCGUAUGCUAAUCCCAAAAGCCUCUCUCAGUUCGGAUCGAAGUCUGCAACCCGACUUCGUGAAGCUGGAUUCGCUAGUAAUCGCGCAUCAGCCACGGCGCGGUGAAUACGUUCCCGGGCCUUGUACACACCGCCCGUCAAGCCAUGGGAGCCGGGGGUACCUGAAGUACGUAACCGCAAGGAUCGUCCUAGGGUAAAACUGGUGACUGGGGCUAAGUCAUAAC